UACGUAGGGUGCGAGCGUUAAUCGGAAUUACUGGGCGUAAAGCGUGCGCAGGCGGUUUUGUAAGACCGAUGUGAAAUCCCCGGGCCUAACCUGGGAACUGCAUUGGUGACUGCAAGGCUUGAGUGCGGCAGAGGGGAAUGGAAUUCCGCGUGUAGCAGUGAAAUGCGUAGAUAUGCGGAGGAACACCGAUGGCGAAGGCAGUUCCCUGGGCCUGCACUGACGCUCAUGCACGAAAGCGUGGGGAG
This 245-nucleotide ribosomal RNA is filed under the name uncultured Allobrachymonas sp. RNAcentral's name for it is "uncultured Brachymonas sp. partial 16S ribosomal RNA". It matches the Rfam family "Bacterial small subunit ribosomal RNA", at positions 524 to 768 of the family's 1533-position model. The record is from RNAcentral. Lineage: Bacteria; Pseudomonadati; Pseudomonadota; Betaproteobacteria; Burkholderiales; Comamonadaceae.